This 398-nucleotide ribosomal RNA is filed under the name uncultured bacterium. RNAcentral's name for it is "bacterial SSU rRNA". It matches the Rfam family "Bacterial small subunit ribosomal RNA", at positions 358 to 773 of the family's 1533-position model. The record is from RNAcentral.
GGAAUCUUGCACAAUGGAGGAAACUCUGAUGCAGCGACGCCGCGUUAGCGAAGAAGCCUUUCGGGGUGUAAAGCUCUUACGCCAGGGACGAUAAUGACGGUACCUGGAGAAACAGCGGCGGCUAACUACGUGCCAGCAGCCGCGGUAAUACGUAGGCAGCAAGCGUUGUUCGGAAUUACUGGGCGUAAAGGGUGCGUAGGCGGUGAUCUAAGUUUGGUGUGAAAUCUCCCGGCUCAACGGGGAGGGUGCGCCGAAAACUGGGUCACUCGAGUGUGGGAGAGGAAAGCGGAAUUCCUGGUGUAGCGGUGAAAUGCGUAGAGAUCAGGAGGAACACCUGCGGUGUAGACGGCUUUCUGGACCAUAACUGACGCUGAGGCACGAAAGCGUGGGUAGCAAAC